Seriola dumerili (greater amberjack) is the source of this 202-nucleotide long non-coding RNA. RefSeq lists it as uncharacterized. The transcript is spliced from 3 exons. NCBI's taxonomy places the organism in Eukaryota, Metazoa, Chordata, Actinopteri, Carangiformes, Carangidae. The record is from RefSeq and is a predicted model, not a curated record.
UAAACUGUGAAACUCAGGUGAAAAUGAAGAGUCUGGUUGGAUACUUUGGGCUCAUCUUGGCUUUUCUCUUCAGCUGCACAGGACAGGCUGAGGGACAGCGGACAGGAGGUCGAGGAACAGACUGCACACAGAUCAAGACUCGCUCACCACAAGCAUCCAGUGGAGUUUAUGCAGUCCAGCCUCCUGGAGUCAAGAAGCCAUU